Molecule: transfer RNA, 71 nt
Filed under: Camelus bactrianus (Bactrian camel)
Lineage: Eukaryota; Metazoa; Chordata; Mammalia; Artiodactyla; Camelidae
Also listed under: 1 other name
Rfam family: tRNA
About the family: Transfer RNA (tRNA) molecules are approximately 80 nucleotides in length. Their secondary structure includes four short double-helical elements and three loops (D, anti-codon, and T loops).
Source: Rfam by way of RNAcentral
GGGGAUAUAGCUCAGUGGAGAGCGCAUGCUUAGCACGCAGGAGGUCCUGGGUUCAAUUCCCAGUUCCCCCC